Callithrix jacchus (white-tufted-ear marmoset) is the source of this 1672-nucleotide long non-coding RNA. NCBI's taxonomy places the organism in Eukaryota, Metazoa, Chordata, Mammalia, Primates, Cebidae. The record is from Ensembl.
UUAAAUGUGCCCAUCUCUGAACUCCUUCAGAGCACAUUUAUCAAACUUGUAUUUUUCUUAAGAUUCUCUUUGUGACUAUUGAAACGCGGAGACUGAGCUGAAAAGAAAAGCUUGUAUGUGAAAAACUCCCACUUCAGCUGCAUUUUUCCUGUAUUCGGAAAAGACAGAAAGUCAAAAUAUUGGAGAUUCAGAUGGUGAUUGUGUAUUGGUUUGAAAGAUUUCAUGAAUCAAGAGAUAACUUUGUUAAUCAAUGAGAGCUUGUUUUGUUGCUCAGGUUGGCCUUGAACUCAUAGCCUCACCUCCUCAAGCGCCAGGACAACUGGCCAGAGCCACCGCAGCUCCCAAGAGAUAACUUUGUACUGGCCAACUGGAUGGACCCAACUGAAUGAACCCAACUGUGACAAUGUUCUGAUUUAUUAUACUCCUGUCCUGCAGUUAGUUAACAAGCUGAGUUAAAUGGAGGCAGCAUCUGAAAAAGAACACAGAAAGCCGGCUGCCUCAACAUUCAAAUGAGAGUGCAAAUUCCUACUAUAAGAGGUGUGGUUAUAUACUUACUCAAGUGUUCACAUUUCAAGAAGGAAUACAGAAUUCCUAAAGAUGCCCAGGUAUCACCGAGGAGCAGUGAGAGUCUGUGACAAGAUAUCUGUAAAGGUUUGAGGUUUUAUUUUUGUAGAGUCCAAACACAUCUUUAACCUUACAAGUGCUUGGGAUGGAACGAGCAGGUAAAGUGAUUUAGAUCUGUGUAUGAGUGCGGGUGUGCAUGCACAUGUGUGUGUGUGUGGGUGUGUGACUGCCGUGCUCCAAAUGAGGCCUCGAGGGUAAUAAAAAGAGGGCCUGCUGGGACCACCAAUUUCUUUUUCCCAUCUGUGAUGGCUGGGGCCCUGUGCUUCACACUGGGAAGGGUAUUGCUGAACUCUCCUCAGUCUUGUGGUGUGGCCGCCUUUAAUUCAUAUUUGCAUGUGUUGUGAGACCAGCCAGGCAGCUGAACACUGCCCAGGAGUGGAGCUUGUGAUGAUGUAGAGAAAUGAAAUCAGUGUUUAAUGAGAAUUGGUGAGAUAAGGUCCACAGAUGGACCAUUCGGAGGGCUGUGUUUGAACAAUGGUAUCCCAUUAAUUUUAUAAUACACCUUACUGUGGGCUUAAAUUGCAUUCUUGGAAAAUUUAGCCCAGCAUGACCAGUUCUUCUUAGAAUAGCAUCACUCACGUAAUGUUGUGUUCAAUAAGCCUGUUGCAUAAAAGGUUAUGAUGUAAUUUUUAUCAUUAUAAGUCUCCAGUGCUUCUAGAACUUACCUUCAAACUAGUGAAAAUGAUAUUUCAUAUAUCCACAAUUGUAUUUCAAAGUAAGUUCUAAAAAGCCACGUGCCUCAGUUUAUCCUUUGGAAUUUGCCUAUCUUUUCUUUAAAGAGUUAUUUUUAUAAAUCAAUAUUCUAAAAGAAUAUACCAGCAUAUUUUCCUAUAGCUUUCAGUCUUUGAUUAAUGUUUUAAUGGUGUUUUUCCCUAUUUUAAUCCAUGUAGUAUAUUGAACUAAGCCUGGGGCUUAGAGUAAGAUGAACUAGGGUCUGAAUCCCAACUCUUCCCAAUUACUGGCUGUGAUCAUGGUUAAAUCACAUAAUGAUUCUGAGCAAUCAUUUUAUAUAUAUAUAUAUAUAUAUAUAUAUGUGUGUGUAUGUGAA